RNAcentral lists this ribosomal RNA (559 nucleotides) under Staphylococcus aureus. RNAcentral describes it as "bacterial SSU rRNA". It matches the Rfam family "Bacterial small subunit ribosomal RNA", at positions 40 to 582 of the family's 1533-position model. The record is from RNAcentral. Lineage: Bacteria; Bacillati; Bacillota; Bacilli; Caryophanales; Staphylococcaceae.
CGGCGUGCCUAAACAUGCAAGUCGAGCGAACGGACGAGAAGCUUGCUUCUCUGAUGUUAGCGGCGGACGGGUGAGUAACACGUGGAUAACCUACCUAUAAGACUGGGAUAACUUCGGGAAACCGGAGCUAAUACCGGAUAAUAUUUUGAACCGCAUGGUUCAAAAGUGAAAGACGGUCUUGCUGUCACUUAUAGAUGGAUCCGCGCUGCAUUAGCUAGUUGGUAAGGUAACGGCUUACCAAGGCAACGAUGCAUAGCCGACCUGAGAGGGUGAUCGGCCACACUGGAACUGAGACACGGUCCAGACUCCUACGGGAGGCAGCAGUAGGGAAUCUUCCGCAAUGGGCGAAAGCCUGACGGAGCAACGCCGCGUGAGUGAUGAAGGUCUUCGGAUCGUAAAACUCUGUUAUUAGGGAAGAACAUAUGUGUAAGUAACUGUGCACAUCUUGACGGUACCUAAUCAGAAAGCCACGGCUAACUACGUGCCAGCAGCCGCGGUAAUACGUAGGUGGCAAGCGUUAUCCGGAAUUAUUGGGCGUAAAGCGCGCGUAGGCGGUUUU